RNAcentral lists this ribosomal RNA (253 nucleotides) under uncultured bacterium. RNAcentral describes it as "partial 16S ribosomal RNA". It matches the Rfam family "Bacterial small subunit ribosomal RNA", at positions 524 to 776 of the family's 1533-position model. The record is from RNAcentral.
UACGAAGGGGGCUAGCGUUGUUCGGAAUUACUGGGCGUAAAGCGAACGUAGGCGGUGUUCCAAGUCAGAGGUGAAAGCCCAGAGCUCAACUCUGGAACGGCCUUUGAGACUAGAGGACUUGGGUACGGGAGAGGUGAGUGGAAUUCCGAGUGUAGAGGUGAAAUUCGUAGAUAUUCGGAAGAACACCAGUGGCGAAGGCGGCUCACUGGCCCGUUACCGACGCUCAGGCGCGACAGCGUGGGGAGCAAACAGG